CCGCCACUCCGGAUUCGGGGAUCUGAACCCGACUCCCUUUCGAUCCGCUGAGGGCAAGGGAGGCCAUUGCCUGUCCCUUCGGAACGGCGCUCGCCCAUCUCUCAGGACCGACUGACCCGUGUUCAACUGCUGGCACCCUGCCCUUCACAAAGAAAAGAGAACUCUCCCCGCGGCUCAUUUUUCUUUCUCUACACUUUGUCUCUGUGUCUCUUUCUUUUCCAAGU
RNAcentral lists this long non-coding RNA (224 nucleotides) under Homo sapiens (human). RNAcentral describes it as "HSALNT0309382". Lineage: Eukaryota; Metazoa; Chordata; Mammalia; Primates; Hominidae. The record is from RNAcentral.